This 1444-nucleotide ribosomal RNA is filed under the name metagenome. RNAcentral's name for it is "bacterial SSU rRNA". It matches the Rfam family "Bacterial small subunit ribosomal RNA". The record is from RNAcentral.
AGAGUUUGAUCCUGGCUCAGGAUGAACGCUGGCGGCGUGCUUAACACAUGCAAGUCGAACGAGCCUUCGGGCUAGUGGCGGACGGGUGAGUAACGCGUGAGAAUCUGCCCUCAGGAGGGGGAUAACGGCUGGAAACGGCCGCUAAUACCCCAUAUGCCGCGAGGUGAAAUGAGAAAUCGCCUGAGGAUGAGCUCGCGUCUGAUUAGCUAGUUGGUGGGGUAAGAGCCUACCAAGGCAUCGAUCAGUAGCUGGUCUGAGAGGAUGAUCAGCCACACUGGGACUGAGACACGGCCCAGACUCCUACGGGAGGCAGCAGUGGGGAAUUUUCCGCAAUGGGCGCAAGCCUGACGGAGCAACGCCGCGUGAGGGAUGAAGGCCUCUGGGCUGUAAACCUCUUUUCUCAAGGAAGAAGAACUGACGGUACUUGAGGAAUAAGCCACGGCUAAUUCCGUGCCAGCAGCCGCGGUAAUACGGGAGUGGCAAGCGUUAUCCGGAAUUAUUGGGCGUAAAGCGUCCGCAGGCGGUCUUGAAAGUCUGUUGUUAAAGCGUGGAGCUCAACUCCAUUUCAGCAAUGGAAACUAGAAGACUAGAGUGUGGUAGGGGCAGAGGGAAUUCCCGGUGUAGCGGUGAAAUGCGUAGAUAUCGGGAAGAACACCAGUGGCGAAGGCGCUCUGCUGGGCCAUAACUGACGCUCAUGGACGAAAGCCAGGGGAGCGAAAGGGAUUAGAUACCCCUGUAGUCCUGGCCGUAAACGAUGAACACUAGGUGUCGGGGGAAUCGACCCCCUCGGUGUCGUAGCCAACGCGUUAAGUGUUCCGCCUGGGGAGUACGCACGCAAGUGUGAAACUCAAAGGAAUUGACGGGGGCCCGCACAAGCGGUGGAGUAUGUGGUUUAAUUCGAUGCAACGCGAAGAACCUUACCAGGGUUUGACAUCCUGCGAAUCUUUUGGAAACAGAAGAGUGCCUUCGGGGGCGCAGAGACAGGUGGUGCAUGGCUGUCGUCAGCUCGUGUCGUGAGAUGUUGGGUUAAGUCCCGCAACGAGCGCAACCCACGUCUUUAGUUGCCAGCAUCGAGUUGGGCACUCUAGAGAGACCGCCGGUGAUAAACCGGAGGAAGGUGUGGAUGACGUCAAGUCAUCAUGCCCCUUACAUCCUGGGCUACACACGUACUACAAUGCUACGGACAGAGGGCAGCAAACUCGCGAGAGCUAGCAAAUCCCAUAAACCGUGGCUCAGUUCAGAUCGUAGGCUGCAACUCGCCUACGUGAAGGAGGAAUCGCUAGUAAUCGCAGGUCAGCAUACUGCGGUGAAUACGUUCCCGGGCCUUGUACACACCGCCCGUCACACCAUGGAAGUUGGCCAUGCCCGAAGUCGUUACUCCAACCCUUGUGGAGGAGGACGCCGAAGGUGGGGCUGAUGACUGGGGUGAAGUCGGAACAAGGUA